UCUAUGGGAUUUAGAAGCCCAAAGGCACUGAUUUAGUAUCCCGAGCAUAGCGAGGGUACUAAAGUGGCUGAGGGCUUCUAAAUCACAUGGACACCGACAAAAGCAGUGUCUAAUGCACCUAUCAAUGGCAAGCCCCACCUCCCCCAGUACGGGCACUAGGUGGGGCUUAUGUGGGGAUUUGAUUAUACAUUUUGCCCCAGAUGCAGGGAAUUUGAUAAUACUGUUCUGCGCAUGCGCAGUAAAAAAUUAGCCAUGUGCUAAUUGCAACUCUAUUCAUAAAAUAUUAUAAAAUGUGCUAGAGAAGGCUAAAUAUAGAAGCUCUGAAGAUUUAGCUGCAAGAAGAAGUGUGUGAAGAAAUCUAUCAGCUAAUAUAAAACAACCGAAGGUGAUGUCACAAUAUGAGAAAAAGGUCCUAGUGACCUUUGGAGACAAUCGGCGUCCAGUUUCUUUCCAAGGAGGGGUGACUAACCUAACGUUAAAGAUCAAGGAACGUUUUUCAGACUGUGGGAUAGAGAAAGA
Long non-coding RNA from Halichondria panicea, 519 nucleotides. RefSeq lists it as uncharacterized. The record is from RefSeq and is a predicted model, not a curated record. The transcript is spliced from 2 exons. NCBI's taxonomy places the organism in Eukaryota, Metazoa, Porifera, Demospongiae, Suberitida, Halichondriidae.